UGAGGUCGGAAGUUCAAGUCUUCCCAGGCCCACCACUUUCAUCGAGUGAGCAUUCGUCUUCUGGUUACGGGGCCAUAGCUCAGCUGGGAGAGCGCGUGCUUUGCAAGCAUGAGGUCGUCGGUUCGAUCCCGUCUGGCUCCACCAGAUGGUUUGAUCACCGAGAUCUUGACCGUCGUCCGCGAAACAUCACUUCGCAUCCUGCUAGUCUGGAUAGACAGCAGUUUGCGUGUUUUCUGACAUCGUAAAGAGGAGAUCGAUCCGAGUUGGGUCGUGCAGCAUAUCGUUGCGCGAGCCUUCAUUAUCUCCGGAUCAUUUCGGCGCUCGCUUCCAGCCGUGAGGUUGGAUGCGGGUUGUAAAUGAUCCUUUUAGCGAAGCUUGACCGCCUCGCUAUCGGAACGAUCUUACGAAGCAAGCUGGUCUUUCUAGUCAAUGUCCGGCUGCGGAUAGCGUUCAUCGAGGGCGCGUGCCGCAAGGCAAUUCUGCAGACAACAUUCUGCCGAGUGUGUGGACAUUGAUAAUGAGAGCAAUCAAGUGCCUUAAGGGUGUUCGGUGGAUGCCUUGGCGCUGAGAGGCGAUGAAGGACGUGCUACGCUGCGAUAAGCCCGUGGGGA
RNAcentral lists this ribosomal RNA (611 nucleotides) under Bradyrhizobium sp. STM 3568. RNAcentral's name for it is "partial 16S-23S ribosomal RNA intergenic spacer". The stretch from base 69 to 141 matches the Rfam family "tRNA". The record is from RNAcentral. Lineage: Bacteria; Pseudomonadati; Pseudomonadota; Alphaproteobacteria; Hyphomicrobiales; Nitrobacteraceae.